Molecule: ribosomal RNA, 520 nt
Filed under: uncultured Glomus
Lineage: Eukaryota; Fungi; Glomeromycota; Glomeromycetes; Glomerales; Glomeraceae
Description: SSU rRNA
Rfam family: Eukaryotic small subunit ribosomal RNA
Source: RNAcentral
AGCAGCCGCGGUAAUUCCAGCUCCAAUAGCGUAUAUUAAAGUUGUUGCAGUUAAAAAGCUCGUAGUUGAAUUUCGGGGUCAGUAGGUCGGUCAUGCCACUGGUAUGAACUGGUUUCACUGAUUCCUCCCUCUUGUAGAACCGUGAUGCCAUUAAUUUGGUGUUGCGGGGAAACAGGACUGUUACUUUGAAAAAAUUAGAGUGUUUAAAGCAAGCUAACGCUUGAAUACAUUAGCAUGGAAUAAUGAAAUAGGACGUCGAUCUUAUUUUGUUGGUUUCUAGGGUUGACGUAAUGAUUAAUAGGGAUAGUUGGGGGCAUUAGUAUUCAAUUGUCAGAGGUGAAAUUCUUGGAUUUAUUGAAGACUAACUACUGCGAAAGCAUUUGCCAAGGAUGUUUUCAUUAAUCAAGAACGAAAGUUAGGGGAUCGAAGACGAUCAGAUACCGUCGUAGUCUUAACCAUAAACUAUGCCGACUAGGGAUCGGAUGAUGUUAAUUUUUUAAUGACUCAUUCGGCGCCUUAC